Molecule: ribosomal RNA, 497 nt
Filed under: uncultured bacterium
Lineage: Bacteria
Description: partial 16S ribosomal RNA
Rfam family: Bacterial small subunit ribosomal RNA
Source: RNAcentral
GAUGAACGCUGGCGGCGUGCCUAAUACAUGCAAGUCGAGCGAACAGACGAGGAGCUUGCUCCUCUGACGUUAGCGGCGGACGGGUGAGUAACACGUGGAUAACCUACCUAUAAGACUGGGAUAACUUCGGGAAACCAGAGCUAAUACCGGAUAAUAUAUUGAACCGCAUGGUUCAAUAGUGAAAGACGGUUUUGCUGUCACUUAUAGAUGGAUCCGCGUCGCAUUAGCUAGUUGGUAAGGUAACGGCUUACCAAGGCAACGAUGCGUAGCCGACCUGAGAGGGUGAUCGGCCACACUGGAACUGAGACACGGUCCAGACUCCUACGGGAGGCAGCAGUAGGGAAUCUUCCGCAAUGGGCGAAAGCCUGACGGAGCAACGCCGCGUGAGUGAUGAAGGUCUUCGGAUCGUAAAACUCUGUUAUUAGGGAAGAACAAAUGUGUAAGUAACUAUGCACGUCUUGACGGUACCUAAUCAGAAAGCCACGGCUAACUACGUG